This 1397-nucleotide ribosomal RNA is filed under the name Triticum aestivum (bread wheat). RNAcentral describes it as "partial small subunit ribosomal RNA". The record is from RNAcentral. Lineage: Eukaryota; Viridiplantae; Streptophyta; Magnoliopsida; Poales; Poaceae.
UUCCCUGUACGGUUUCGGUUUAUGGCGCGUUAAUUGAUAGAAGAUCCGACCAAGACAGUUACAUAAGUUGCAGAGUCGUCUUUUCCAUGAUUAUGUCAUGUUAAAAAGAAUAACCAUUACGUAAAAGUACAGCAAAUCCAAACGACGGGAACGAUAGUUACUUUAGAAGUCAAGGGAAUGAAGUUGAGUACACUGGACGAAAGAAAAGAAAAGGUACGUUCGAUGUUCAAUGACAAUGUAUGUAGGUAAAAAUGAAAAAGAAUUUACAUAAAUAAACUUCCGUGUGGAAAUCAAUAAUGAGGGAGGUAAGGGAAUAUGUUCCGGUGUUUGAGUAUAAUGUCCAUAGUUCCAUUUUAAAUUACUGAUGAAACGUUCGGUUAAAAAGAAGAGCAAUUGGCCCUAGUAAUUAUACAGACGUACGUACGUUCCUUCCUUAUUCUUCCUUCAUCGUAUCACAGUAAUUCUGAUGUACGUACGUUCAUAAUUUAUUCAACGAUCAUGCUCCUUUGUAGUAAUUAAAAAUGGAGCUAAUGACAAUCACCGGAACAUCUGAUCGGUGUUACCUCUCAUUGUAUGUGAUCAUUGUAUGUGUAUAGGGAUCUGAUACAAUGAUGGAAGUAUCACCCAUCAUUGUAUUCACACCAUUGUACGUCUCGAAAUAAAUAAUCCAAUAUCUCUGAGUAUAACGUAACCCUGUACACUACAAUGUCAUUGAUCGAUUCAAUCAUGUUCAUAGAGAGAGGAGUAAUUGAGUAACGGUGUAUUUGUUUAAACGACUCAACCUGAGCUACGAUGACGACUUCAAUGAGGGUGACACCGAUCAGCAUAUCUACGUUUUACAUAAAAGGUAUCACCGGAACAUAUUCCCUUACCUCCCUCAUAAUAAUUGGUUAUGUACAUAACGAGUACAGAAGUUUCUCCCUCAUGUAAUAAGAAGCUCGGGUUUUCAUAGUGAUACAUCUACUUAACAUACUACCUAAUGUUUGAAAUGAAUAUUCUGAUGUACUUGACGAUUAAUUAAAUAGAAACUUAUUAUAUACCAAAUGAGAUUAGAGAUGGACCAAACACAGUACAACCCUCCACCUACCCUCCGGUAAGGUUUCUAACAACACCGUCUUAGCUGACUGACGUGGUUGACGUUAAAUUUCAUAUAUACCAGGUAUACUGUGUCGUACGCUCCUCAGUUUACUGUUCCGUUGCCCUGGUUAGAUAGUUUAUGCAUCAUACGGACUCAUCUUGACAUAUAUCCAAAGAAUGUCGAGAUGAGAAACAUUACUUGAACUACGCCUACUAACGUUUCCUAGUACAGAGGGACGAUACGACGUACGACGGUUUUUAUUCAUCUUUUAGUGGGUAUCAAGGGUUCGGUCUCGUACAUAUUAUUCCCCAAAUAUCGG